RNAcentral lists this ribosomal RNA (420 nucleotides) under uncultured bacterium. Its description in RNAcentral is "bacterial SSU rRNA". It matches the Rfam family "Bacterial small subunit ribosomal RNA", at positions 355 to 775 of the family's 1533-position model. The record is from RNAcentral.
UGGGGAAUAUUGGACAAUGGGCGGAAGCCUGAUCCAGCAACGCCGCGUGAGGGAUGACGGCCUUCGGGUUGUAAACCUCUUUCAGCACCGACGAAGCUCCACUUUUUGGUGGUUUGACGGUAGGUGCAGAAGAAGGACCGGCCAACUACGUGCCAGCAGCCGCGGUAAUACGUAGGGUCCGAGCGUUGUCCGGAAUUAUUGGGCGUAAAGGGCUCGUAGGCGGUUUGUCGCGUCGGGAGUGAAAACAUCUGGCUUAACUGGGUGCUUGCUUUCGAUACGGGCAGACUGGAGGUAUGCAGGGGAGAACGGAAUUCCUGGUGUAGCGGUGAAAUGCGCAGAUAUCAGGAGGAACACCGGUGGCGAAGGCGGUUCUCUGGGCAUUACCUGACGCUGAGGAGCGAAAGUGUGGGGAGCGAACAG